UGGGGAAUAUUGGGCAAUGGGCGAAAGCCUGACCCAGCCACGCCGCGUGAGUGAUGAAGGCCUUCGGGUCGUAAAGCUCUGUGGGGAGGGACGAACAAGCUUGGGGCUAAUCACCCGGGUCCUGACGGUACCUCCUUAGCAAGCACCGGCUAACCCUGUGCCAGCAGCCGCGGUAAUACAGGGGGUGCAAACGUUGCUCGGAAUCAUUGGGCGUAAAGCGCACGUAGGCGGUUCGUUAUGUCGGAUGUGAAAGCCCUUGGCUUAACCGAGGAAGUGCAUCCGAAACUGGCGAGCUAGAGUACGAAAGAGGAUCGCGGAAUUCCCGGUGUAGAGGUGAAAUUCGUAGAUAUCGGGAGGAACACCGGUGGCGAAGGCGGCGAUCUGGGUCGAUACUGACGCUGAGGUGCGAAAGCGUGGGGAGCAAACAGGAUUAGAUACCCCCGUAGUCC
RNAcentral lists this ribosomal RNA (449 nucleotides) under uncultured bacterium. Its description in RNAcentral is "bacterial SSU rRNA". It matches the Rfam family "Bacterial small subunit ribosomal RNA", at positions 355 to 796 of the family's 1533-position model. The record is from RNAcentral.